UGGGGAAUAUUGCACAAUGGGGGAAACCCUGAUGCAGCGACGCCGCGUGAACGAAGAAGGUAUCCGUAUCGUAAAUUUCUGUCCUAUGGGAAGAUAAUGACAGUACCAUAGAAGAAAGCUCCGGCUAAAUACGUGCCAGCAGCCGCGGUAAUACGUAUGGAGCGAGCGUUGUCCGGAAUUAUUGGGCGUAAAGGGUACGCAGGCGGUUUAAUAAGUCGAAUGUUAAAGAUCGGGGCUCAACCCCGCAAAGCAUUGGAAACUGAUAAACUUGAGUAGUGGAGAGGAAAGUGGAAUUCCUAGUGUAGUGGUGAAAUACGUAGAUAUUAGGAGGAAUACCAGUAGCGAAGGCGACGUUCUGGACACAAACUGACGCUGAGGUACGAAAGCGUGGGGAGCAAACAGG
RNAcentral lists this ribosomal RNA (403 nucleotides) under bacterium. RNAcentral describes it as "partial 16S ribosomal RNA". It matches the Rfam family "Bacterial small subunit ribosomal RNA", at positions 355 to 776 of the family's 1533-position model. The record is from RNAcentral.